GGCCAGACUCCUACGGGAGGCAGCAGUGGGGAAUAUUGCACAAUGGGGGAAACCCUGAUGCAGCGACGCCGCGUGAGUGAAGAAGUAUUUCGGUAUGUAAAGCUCUAUCAGCAGGGAAGAAAAUGACGGUACCUGACUAAGAAGCCCCGGCUAACUACGUGCCAGCAGCCGCGGUAAUACGUAGGGGGCAAGCGUUAUCCGGAUUUACUGGGUGUAAAGGGAGCGUAGACGGCAUGGCAAGUCAGAUGUGAAAGCCCGGGGCUCAACCCCGGGACUGCAUUUGAAACUGUCAGGCUGGAGUGCAGGAGAGGUAAGUGGAAUUCCUAGUGUAGCGGUGAAAUGCGUAGAUAUUAGGAGGAACACCAGUGGCGAAGGCGGCUUACUGGACUGUAACUGACGUUGAGGCUCGAAAGCGUGGGGAGCAAACAGGAUUAGAUACCCGUGUA
RNAcentral lists this ribosomal RNA (446 nucleotides) under uncultured bacterium. Its description in RNAcentral is "bacterial SSU rRNA". It matches the Rfam family "Bacterial small subunit ribosomal RNA", at positions 329 to 792 of the family's 1533-position model. The record is from RNAcentral.